RNAcentral lists this ribosomal RNA (495 nucleotides) under uncultured bacterium. RNAcentral's name for it is "partial 16S ribosomal RNA". It matches the Rfam family "Bacterial small subunit ribosomal RNA", at positions 29 to 507 of the family's 1533-position model. The record is from RNAcentral.
UACGAACUCUGGCGGCGUGCCUAAUACAUGCAAGUAGAACGCUGCAGGAGGAGCUUGCUCUUCUGGAUGAGUUGCGAACGGGUGAGUAACGCGUAGGUAACCUGCCUGGUAGCGGGGGAUAACUCUUGGAAACGAUAGCUAAUACCGCAUAAGAGUAGAUGUUGCAUGACAUUUACUUUACAGAUGCAAUUGCAUCACUACCAUAUGCACCUGCGUUGUAUUAGCUAGUUGGUGGGGUAACGGCUUACCAAGGCGACGAUACAUAGCCGACCUGAGAGGGUGAUCGGCCACACUGGGACUGAGACACGGCCCAGACUCCUACGGGAGGCAGCAGUAGGGAAUCUUCGGCAAUGGACGGAAGUCUGACCGAGCAACGCCGCGUGAGUGAAGAAGGUUUUCGGAUCGUAAAGCUCUGUUGUAAGAGAAGAACGAGUGUGGGAGUGGAAAGUUCACACUGUGACGGUAUCUUACCAGAAAGGGACGGCUAACUACGUG